Transfer RNA from Ovis aries (sheep), 73 nucleotides. It matches the Rfam family "tRNA". From Rfam's summary of the family: Transfer RNA (tRNA) molecules are approximately 80 nucleotides in length. Their secondary structure includes four short double-helical elements and three loops (D, anti-codon, and T loops). The record is from Rfam. Lineage: Eukaryota; Metazoa; Chordata; Mammalia; Artiodactyla; Bovidae.
UCUCAAGUGGUCCAGUGACUAAGACUCUGAGCUCCCAAUUCAGGGGGCCCAGGUUUGAUCCCUGGUCAGGGAA